UACGUAGGGUACGAGCGUUGUCCGGAAUUAUUGGGCGUAAAGAGCUCGUAGGUGGUUGGUCACGUCUGCUGUGGAAACGCAACGCUUAACGUUGCGCGUGCAGUGGGUACGGGCUGACUAGAGUGCAGUAGGGGAGUCUGGAAUUCCUGGUGUAGCGGUGAAAUGCGCAGAUAUCAGGAGGAACACCGGUGGCGAAGGCGGGACUCUGGGCUGUAACUGACACUGAGGAGCGAAAGCAUGGGGAGCGAACAGGAUUAGAUACCUUGUAGUCC
RNAcentral lists this ribosomal RNA (272 nucleotides) under uncultured prokaryote. Its description in RNAcentral is "partial 16S ribosomal RNA". It matches the Rfam family "Bacterial small subunit ribosomal RNA", at positions 524 to 796 of the family's 1533-position model. The record is from RNAcentral.